AGCUGCUGCCACCUCUCGCUCCUCUCCCUCUUCCCUCUCUUCUCCCUCUUCUUCUCCUUCUCUUCUUCUCCUCUUCCCUUUUCCUCCCCAACGCCACACACCUCCUCGCUGCAGCCUUGCCGCAGCUAUCCUCCUCUCUUCCUCUUCUUCUUCUUCUUCUUCUCCCUCUUCUUCCUCUCUUCUUCUCCCCACACCCCACCGCUCCUCGCUGCAGCCCUUGCCGUAGCCACCUCCUCUUUUCUUCUUCUUCUUUUUCUGCUUCUCUUCUUCUCCUCUUCUC
Molecule: long non-coding RNA, 280 nt
Filed under: Musa acuminata (dwarf banana)
Lineage: Eukaryota; Viridiplantae; Streptophyta; Magnoliopsida; Zingiberales; Musaceae
Description: long non-coding RNA (MACU_LNC010816)
Source: RNAcentral